GAUCACUGCUAUUGGAAUUCGACUAAGGCAUGCGAGUCGAGAGGGUACGGCCCUCGGCGGACUGCUCAGUAACACGUGGACAAUCUGCCCUUAGGCGGGGGAUAAUCUCGAGAAAUUGAGCAUAAUACCCCAUAGCUCUAGAUUGCUGGAAUGCUUUUAGAGUCAAAGCCCCGGCGCCUAAGGAUGAGUCUGCGGCCUAUCAGGUUGUAGUGAGUGUAACGGACUCACUAGCCGACGACGGGUACGGGUCCUGGAAGGGAGAGCCCGGAGAUGGACUCUGAGACACGAGUCCAGGCCCUACGGGGCGCAGCAGGCGCGAAAUCUUCACAAUGUGCGAAAGCACGAUGAGGGGAUCCCAAGUGCUGGCACGUAAGUGUCAGCUGUUUCUUAGUCUAAAAAACUGAGAGAGUAAGGGCUGGGUAAGACGGGUGCCAGCCGCCGCGGUAAUACCUGCAGCUCAAGUGGUGGCCGCUAUUAUUGGGCCUAAAACGUCCGUAGCCUGUUUAGUAAAUGCUUGGGUAAAUUGUGUAGCUUAACUAUACGAAUACCGGGUAGACUGCUAAACUUGGGACCGGGAGAGGCUAGAGGUACUCCUGGGGUAGAGGUGAAAUUCUGUAAUCCUAGGGGGACCACCAGUGGCGAAGGCGUCUAGCUAGAACGGGUCUGACGGUGAGGGACGAAGCCCUGGGGCGCAAACCGGAUUAGAUACCCGGGUAGUCCAGGGUGUAAACGCUGCUUGCUUGAUGUUAGUUGGGCUCCGAGCCCAACUAGUGUCGGAGAGAAGUUGUUAAGCAAGCUGCCUGGGAAGUACGGUCGCAAGACUGAAACUUAA
This 832-nucleotide ribosomal RNA is filed under the name uncultured archaeon. RNAcentral describes it as "bacterial SSU rRNA". It matches the Rfam family "Archaeal small subunit ribosomal RNA", at positions 21 to 859 of the family's 1478-position model. The record is from RNAcentral.